This 117-nucleotide ribosomal RNA is filed under the name Clostridia bacterium. Lineage: Bacteria; Bacillati; Bacillota; Clostridia. The record is from RNAcentral.
UGCGGUGAUAAUGGCGGUGAGGAUCCACCUGUUCUCAUACCGAACACAGAAGUUAAGCUCACUUGCGCCGAAAAUACUAUAUUGGUGACGAUAUGGGAAGAUAGGUAGUUGCCGCAU